AUGGAGGACGGCAACGGCGGCGGGGAGGGGAGCACGAGCGGGGGGAGGUUCCCGAUACUGCAAGCGAACCGGGACCCCGAGUCCAACUGGGAGGUGGACGUCGCCAAGAGCCUCGAGGAGUACCUCCUCAAGAUCUGCUCAGGCGAGAUCUCCGGCGAAGACUUCAACUUCGCCGAAGCGGCGCUAUUGCUCCAAGGAUCGGUUCAAGUUUACAGCCGCAAGGUGGAGUACUUGUACUCGUUGGUGCUACAUGCACUGGAAUUUCUGUCGCAAAAUAAGCCAGAUCAACAAGGAAAGGGUUCUGCUGAAGCUAAUGAAAGUGACCCUAGCACUACUUCCGACAAAGAAGAUGAUAUGUUUCUGGGUUUGGAUGAUGUCCCAGCGGAAACAAGGAUCACUUUGGGUAACAAUCUUGACCGGGAUGAGUUGCGAAGAAUAAUUGUGAGGCCACCAGCAAAUCUAUUGGUGUUCGAAGGAGACUGUGUCGAUAGCGAAGCGAGCGAGCUGGAUUCGUAUUUGUUAGCAACAUGUGGUUUCUAUGGAGAUUUCCUCCUGCUGGAUCCAUGUGAUGCACCAGCUGUUUUUGCCUUCCUGCAAGGAAAAAAUGUAUGCAAAGAAGAUAUUCUGUCUCAUGGAGGUGGCUCAGCACCAUCUAAACGCCGAAACAACGUCUUCACUUCCCCAAAUGCAAGAUCGGGGGGUACUGCUCGUAGAAAAACUCCUGGGGAAGUCCCGCGAAAUGCAGUUCAACCAGAGAUUGAAAAAUCUCAAGAAACGAAUCCAGGUGAAAGUCCAGCGAAUAACUGGCCUGAUCAUCGUGGUGACCUUACUCCUGAUCUCAGCCCGUCCCAGCCAGAGUAUGUAGACCCUGGAUGCCCAGAUCUCAGGGAUGAUUCCGAUGACGAGGAUCCAUAUAAAUCUUUAGAUCCACAUGAACCUAGCAACCUAAAGAUUAAACCUUAUAAGAGAGUAAAAUGUUUUCCAAGGCAAGUUAUUGGCGCUCCUAAGAAAAAAACUCUUGCAUCUAUAUUUCCUGCGGCAAAGAUGGAUGGUGUUGUUAGUCCCGAGCUAACAAAAUAUGUUGUAUUACGUAUGCCUCAACUCUAUGUCUCCCAAUCAGUUCCUCUUUAUGAAAAGCUUUUGUUGUCAUUUGAAUCUGGUGACAAAAAGCGUGUUGAUGAGCCCAAUCCUAGUAUGCAUGAUUCCGAUGAUGAGCCAGACAUCCCAACUUACCCAGAUGAUGGGCUAGGCAGCCCAAUUGAUCAGCCAGUCUUGAAUAUACCGGGGAGCAUGGAUGCUCUUUGUCAGUCGCAUCUGGAUAAGCUGCUUUGUAGGAUAGCUGAGGCGGAACAACAAUCCGCGCUGGAUGCACGGGUUUCAACAUGGAAACAGCGGAUCGAGCACGCCUUGGAAGAGCAGGAUAGAAAUCCACCUUUCGAUAUCGGUCUAUACAGAGAGCAAAUCCUCGACACGCUCUCAUCAAGAACCGACACAGGGACCGCAUCGUUCAGUCAGAUUGUUAGCGGCCACCCAAAGUACGAUGUUGCGAGAACGUUCUCCGCCCUUCUCCAGUUGGUGAAUGGCAGAUGUGUUGAUCUAGACAAAGGACAGGCCACGAGCGAAUUGGUGUGCUACACGGGUGCCAACCCGUUCCACGUAAAGCUGAUCGGUCCCAACCGCAGGCCAGAGAUGGAGGCACGUUUCGCGCGCAAGAGGGUCAAGUCCCCUGAACGACGAUGUUGUGAUGAAGGGGGCGAGCCUUGUCGGGUACAAGCGCAGAAGCAGGCGCCUAAGGAUGGCAAGGUCUCUUCGGUUAAGGCGGCGGCGAGGUUGACCCCUGAAGGAAAGCGGAGGCGAAGGUCUGGUCCGCUGCCGCAGCCAUUCGAUCUGGAGUCCAGCUGA
Molecule: ribosomal RNA, 1902 nt
Filed under: Triticum aestivum (bread wheat)
Lineage: Eukaryota; Viridiplantae; Streptophyta; Magnoliopsida; Poales; Poaceae
Description: partial small subunit ribosomal RNA
Source: RNAcentral